GAUGAACGCUAGCUACAGGCUUAACACAUGCAAGCCGAGGGGUAACGAGAGGAAAGCUUGCUUUCCUUGUCGACGACCGGCGCACGGGUGAGUAACGCGUAUCCAACCUGCCCCCAACUAAGGAAUAACCUUGCGAAAGUAAGACUAAUACCUUAUAAUUUCCUCAGAUGUCAUCUGACGAGGAAUAAAGAUUUAUCGGUUGUGGAUGGGGAUGCGUCUGAUUAGCUUGUUGGCGGGGUAACGGCCCACCAAGGCAACGAUCAGUAGGGGUUCUGAGAGGAAGGUCCCCCACAUUGGAGCUGAGACACGGUCCAAACUCCUACGGGAGGCAGCAGUGAGGAAUAUUGGUCAAUGGGCGGAAGCCUGAACCAGCCAAGUAGCGUGCAGGAUGACGGCCCUAUGGGUUGUAAACUGCUUUUAUACAGGAAUAAAGUUAGCCACGUGUGGUUAUUUGUAGGUACUGUAUGAAUAAGGACCGGCUAAUUCCGUGCCAGCCGCCGCGGUAA
Molecule: ribosomal RNA, 506 nt
Filed under: uncultured bacterium
Lineage: Bacteria
Description: partial 16S ribosomal RNA
Rfam family: Bacterial small subunit ribosomal RNA
Source: RNAcentral